CAGUGCUGAUGAGUCUCAAACAGGACGAAACAGCUGUCCAGUGC
This 44-nucleotide non-coding RNA is filed under the name Echinostoma caproni. The record is from RNAcentral. Lineage: Eukaryota; Metazoa; Platyhelminthes; Trematoda; Plagiorchiida; Echinostomatidae.